GAUGAACGCUAGCUACAGGCUUAACACAUGCAAGUCGAGGGGAAACGGCAUCGAAAGCUUGCUUUUGAUGGGCGUCGACCGGCGCACGGGUGAGUAACGCGUAUCCAACCUGCCCAUCACUUGGGAAUAACCUUGCGAAAGUAAGACUAAUGCCCAAUGACAUCCCACGAAGGCAUCCGAAUGGGAUUAAAGAUUUAUCGGUGAUGGAUGGGGAUGCGUCUGAUUAGCUUGUUGGCGGGGUGACGGCCCACCAAGGCAACGAUCAGUAGGGGUUCUGAGAGGCAGCUCCCCCACAUUGGAACUGCGACACGGUCCACACUCCUACGGGAGGCAGCAGUGAGGAAUACUGGUCACUGGGCGAGAGCCUGAACCAGCCAAGUAGCGUGCAGGAUGACGGCCCUAUGGGUUGUAAACUGCUUUUAUAAGGGAAUAAAGUGGGUCACGUGUGACUUUUUGCCUGUACCUUAUGAAUAAGGACCGGCUAAUUCCGUG
RNAcentral lists this ribosomal RNA (492 nucleotides) under uncultured bacterium. RNAcentral describes it as "partial 16S ribosomal RNA". It matches the Rfam family "Bacterial small subunit ribosomal RNA", at positions 28 to 507 of the family's 1533-position model. The record is from RNAcentral.